UGCACUCAAAGAGAAGCAGUGUGCGUCCCUCGCGAAGCUGCGCGCUCUGUCGAAGAGGAUGACCACUCCCAAUAGAGGAGGACCAUUUCUCUGCCAAGGGUAUACGAGUAGCUGCGCUCCCCUGCUAGAACCUCCAAACAAGCUGUCAAAGGCAGGCAGUGGGAUUCCCUCUGCCCUUGUCUUGAUCUCAGCUGGCUACAUGUGGACCAGCGUAUGG
This 217-nucleotide small nuclear RNA is filed under the name Chinchilla lanigera (long-tailed chinchilla). RNAcentral's name for it is "7SK RNA (ENSCLAG00000020925.1)". It matches the Rfam family "7SK RNA", at positions 1 to 264 of the family's 331-position model. From Rfam's summary of the family: 7SK was discovered as an abundant small nuclear RNA in the mid-70s but a possible function has only recently been suggested. Two independent studies have found that 7SK RNA binds the CDK9/cyclin T complex (known as elongation factor P-TEFb). Lineage: Eukaryota; Metazoa; Chordata; Mammalia; Rodentia; Chinchillidae. The record is from RNAcentral.